AGCGAACGCUGGCGGCAGGCUUAACACAUGCAAGUCGAGCGGGCAUCCUUGUGGUGUCAGCGGCAGACGGGUGAGUAACGCGUGGGAACGUGCCCUUCGGUUCGGAAUAACUCAGGGAAACUUGAGCUAAUACCGGAUACGUGCGAGAGCAGAAAGGUUUAUCUGCCGAAGGAUCGGCCCGCGUCUGAUUAGCUAGUUGGUGAGGUUAUGGCUCACCAAGGCGACGAUCAGUAGCUGGUCUGAGAGGAUGAUCAGCCAUACUGGGACUGAGACACGGCCCAGACUCCUACGGGAGGAAGCAGUGGGGAAUAGUGGACAAUGGGGGCAACCCUGAUCCAGCCAUGCCGCGUGAGUGAUGACGGCCUUAGGGUUGUAAAGCUCUUUUCUCCGGGACGAUAAUGACGGUACCGGAGGAAUAAGCCCCGGCUAACUUCGUG
RNAcentral lists this ribosomal RNA (437 nucleotides) under uncultured bacterium. Its description in RNAcentral is "partial 16S ribosomal RNA". It matches the Rfam family "Bacterial small subunit ribosomal RNA", at positions 29 to 507 of the family's 1533-position model. The record is from RNAcentral.